Molecule: transfer RNA, 73 nt
Filed under: Sceloporus magister (desert spiny lizard)
Lineage: Eukaryota; Metazoa; Chordata; Lepidosauria; Squamata; Phrynosomatidae
Description: tRNA-Asn
Source: RNAcentral
CAGACAGAAGCCCGCUGGAUUGGGUGUUUAGCUGUUAAUUAAUUUUUUGCGGGAUCGAGGCCCGCCUGUCUAG